Transfer RNA from Toxocara canis (dog roundworm), 72 nucleotides. It matches the Rfam family "tRNA". Rfam says of the family: Transfer RNA (tRNA) molecules are approximately 80 nucleotides in length. Their secondary structure includes four short double-helical elements and three loops (D, anti-codon, and T loops). Lineage: Eukaryota; Metazoa; Nematoda; Chromadorea; Rhabditida; Toxocaridae. The record is from Rfam.
GCGGCAAUAGCUCAGUAGUAGAGCCCCCGCUUCGGGUGCGGGGAGACCCGGGUUCGAUUCCCGGCUGCUUCC